Molecule: long non-coding RNA, 1515 nt
Organism: Bufo gargarizans (Asiatic toad)
Lineage: Eukaryota; Metazoa; Chordata; Amphibia; Anura; Bufonidae
Exons: 3
Source: RefSeq, a predicted model, not a curated record
CACGUGUUCCCUAAAUGCGUUCCAUGUCUCGUUUCCCACGUAGGGCUGUCCUCCCCCAAAGGGAGGGUAGUUUCUAAAUCUCAUGCGCCAUAAGGACCUUGUUAAAUUACGUUGGAAGCCUCAAUCCCAAACCCACCAUGCGACUCACCGUAAACAUCAUGGUUAGGGUUAGUUGUUAUUAUUUUUACUAAUCUUUAUUACCACCGCAUAUGAGAAGUAGAUAUUACUUUGCUGCUAUAUACCUCGGCUUCUUCAAGCCCUGGUGACUUUAGCAUAUCACGUGACCCUGUGACAUUACUAAGUCCUUACGGCGCAUGGGAACUAGACACUACCCUAGACAGAUGACGUCAUCGGCUUGCGUCUUUAGCGUUCUCUGCUGCAAGAAGAACGUCAACACACAGGAGCAAAUCAUCCAUGUAUUGUAACAGGACCUCUGAGCGGGCGGUGCCCAGUUUGUAAGGACAGAUUGUAGAACCUGUGUAUACAUGGUCGGGGAGUUCUAAGCUCCUUGAGGCAGAAUAGUCCAAGUAUACUGGUUACCCUUAAAUGUAAAGGCAAACGGAUAUGGACAGUCUUGAUGCAACGGGACACUAAAGAAGGAAUUUGCCAGGUCUAUCACUGUGAAACACGUAGCAGUGGAUGGAACUUGUGACAGUAAGUGAAAACCAGUGAUCCAGGUUGAGAUUUGCUCACACGCUGAAUUUCAGGUCAUCUGUACUUUAGAAGUGCUGAGUGGGUUUCCAGUACGACAGACCUUUUGACUUAGAAGAACUAUCACAGAUGGCCUACUGGAAUGAACAUCUGUACAAACCAUCCCCGCUGCUUUUUCUUUCUGGUGCAAACAGGAAGUAUUGACAGCUCUCACUACAGCCAUCUGUGUAGCUUGUUAAACUAUAUACUUAUCGGUAUCUUUUAAUGGUUAGGCUUCUAGGGCUAGGAAUUUUCUCAGUACCUCUCUAGACACUUCUAUUUAGAGUUGACUCAUAAAUCACAGUAGUUCCCUUUUUCCAGUCAUGUGUACAUUUGUGAUGUCUAUUGAGGAUCCACUCAGUGUCACCACAAGCAGCACCAAAACUUUAGUUGGAAUGGACUAUGAUACCUCAAACAACUUAGAUGAAUGUAAUGAGAGCAAAGAUGAGACUUUGCCCCUGGACCAGGAGUCAGAAACGAAGAUACCUGUGCAACUGUACAUCGAAGAUGCAAAGACUACAGUGGAGACUAACACAGAGGAGCAAAACAUUCAUCACAUCAAUGCCAACAACUGGUUUGUGAUUCAUUUAUUCUUGUGAUCUGUUCAUUGUUGAAAAGUUUAAUACAUAUUGUACAUCAGAAAGACUUCUAGUACCCUGCUGUUCUGAUUAGAUUAGCAGGGUACAAUGGGUCAGCAAAGAUUCUUGUCAUUCUACCCAAGCAGACAAAAAUAGUAAAGGGGUACUCUGGGAAUGAAGAUAACGAAAACCUAUAAAUAUUACUUUAUUAUAAAUAUAUUCCCAAAUACUCAUUAGUUAUAAAGGU